This 467-nucleotide ribosomal RNA is filed under the name uncultured bacterium. RNAcentral's name for it is "partial 16S ribosomal RNA". It matches the Rfam family "Bacterial small subunit ribosomal RNA", at positions 28 to 506 of the family's 1533-position model. The record is from RNAcentral.
GAUGAACGCUGGCGGCGUGCUUAACACAUGCAAGUCGAACGGAAAGGCCCAAGCUUGCUUGGGUACUCGAGUGGCGAACGGGUGAGUAACACGUGGGUGAUCUGCCCUGCACUUCGGGAUAAGCCUGGGAAACUGGGUCUAAUACCGGAUAGGACGAUGGUUUGGAUGCCAUUGUGGAAAGUUUUUUCGGUGUGGGAUGAGCUCGCGGCCUAUCAGCUUGUUGGUGGGGUAAUGGCCUACCAAGGCGUCGACGGGUAGCCGGCCUGGGAGGGUGUACGGCCACAUUGGGACUGAGAUACGGCCCAGACUCCUACGGGAGGCAGGAGUGGGGAAUAUUGCACAAUGGGCGCAAGCCUGAUGCAGCGACGCCGCGUGGGGGAUGACGGCCUUCGGGUUGGAAACUCCUUUCGCUAGGGACGAAGCGUUUUUGUGACGGUACCUGGAGAAGAAGCACCGGCUAACUACGU